Molecule: long non-coding RNA, 4014 nt
Organism: Brassica napus (rape)
Lineage: Eukaryota; Viridiplantae; Streptophyta; Magnoliopsida; Brassicales; Brassicaceae
Exons: 3
Source: RefSeq, a predicted model, not a curated record
GUUCUCAUCUUGUUUAAACUGAUGUGAUCGUGCUAUCUUGUUUUGCGAUUUUGUGAGUUAGGGUUUCAAGUUUCCUGAAUCGUUCGUUGAAUCUACACGGAAGCGCUUGACUCAGCGUGAAACCGUCGUUGAGUGUGUGUUUAUGUGGAGAAGGCAUAACAACUGAAGACAAGUUUGAAUCUGUGAGCCGAACAGCUGAAGCAACAAAACAGAUAAGCUCUUUUUUACUUCCUUUUUUUUUUGUUUGUUUUUUUCCCAAUCCAAGAGAUGGUUUUUAUCAAAACAGAGAAGCUUUGUUUUGGUUUUUCAUCAAACCCCAAAAAAGGAUUAUAAGCAGACACUAAUCUAAUAGUGUGCUGACAGAUUCUCAUUUGGGGACAUUGUCCGGUUGCCUGAAGCCUUAGUAGACCCAUAGAAAAUUUUCAAUCAUGGUAGUGCAUGUCUAAAAGAGGGGGACAUUGUCCGGUUGGUGGUAGUGCAUGUCUAAAAGAUGGGAACAUUGUCCGGUUGAUGGUAGUGCAAAAAUGGAAAGUAUGACAUACUUUAGUUACCCACGGCUUACAUAAACAACAAGAAACGGCUUAAGAAAAGUCUUUAGACAGAGACUGAGAUGGUACCCACGGCUUAUUACUGUUGGAUGCAAAUGUCCAGUGGCUUUCAAAAUAGUCUUUAGACAAAAAAGACUAUGAAACGUUGGAUGGAUCAAAUGACCCACAGGUCCACAACUUACCAAAAAAAAAAAGUCUUUGGACACACAAAGAGUAAGAAUGUUCGAUGGAUUAAACGACAAACAAAACAUCAUAAAGACUAUGAAUGUUUGGAUGGAUAAAACGACAAAAACAAAGAAUAUGAGUUACCCACGGCUUAUAAAGGCUUUAAACAAAGACCUUGACUUCUAUGAAGAGUCUUUAGACAAUAUCUACCCACGGCUUGUGAAAAAGUUUUUAGACAGGCACUUUGACGAAGACAUACUCUUCUCAAUAACAAAAAGCUUAAGAAAAGUCUUUAGACAGAGACUGAGAUGGUACCCACGGCUUAUUACUGUUAGAUGGAAAUGUACAGUGGCUUUCAAAAUAGUCUUUAGACAAAAAGACUAUGAAACAUUGGAUGGAUCAAACGACCCAUAAGUCAACAACUUACCAAGAAAAAAAAGUCUUUAGACACACAAAGAGUAAGAAUGUUUGGAUGGAUAAAACGACAAAAACAAAGAGUAUGAGUUACCCACGGCUUAUAAAGGCUUAUGAAAGUUUUUUUGACAUUGCUUGUUACACACGGCUUAUGAAAAAGUCUUUAGAACAAUUGAGUUAAGACAGCUUUAUGAAACCUCUUUAGACAAUACUACUGCCCACGGCAUUACAAAGGCUUUUGUAGACAAAGACUCUACUCAACUUGGACGAUACUACUAUUACCCACGGCUUAUAAAGGCUUUAAACAAAGACCUUGACUUCUAUGAAGAGUCCAUAACUUACCAAAAAAAAAAAUUCUUUAGACACACAAAGAGUAUGAGUUACCCACGGCUUAUAAAGGCUUUAAACAAAGACCUUGCCUUCUAUGAAGAGUCUUUAGAUAAUAUCUACCCACGGCUUAUGAAAAGUUUUUAGACAGAGACUUUGACUUGUUUGUUACACACGGCUUAUGAAAAAGUCUAUAGAACAAUUGAGUUAAAACAGCUUUUAUGAAGAGUAUUUAGAACAAUACUACUGCCCACGGCAUUACAAAGGCUUUUUUGGACAAAGACUCAACUCAACUUGGACAGUACUACUAUUACCCCCGGCUUAUAAAAGGUCUUAAAGAUAGAAACUAUAAACCCUUUAGACUUCUAAGUUUAUUGGAUGUGAAACGACUAACAGUGGAUGAAAAAAGUGACCACCAGUUUAAAGAGGUCUUAAGGAAAACCUAUUUUACUUGUUGGAUGGGAAACAAACUACCUGCAGCUUAGAAAAGUCUUAAAACAGAGACUAUGAACCAAAAACCAUAUCUACACAAGGCUUCAGAGAAAGACCAACGGCUUAAAAGACGAAUAAUAUGAAACAAAACAGACUCUUUAUGACAUAGACUACAUGUCAGUGUUUAGCUUGUUGGAUGGGAAAAAACGACCAACGGCUUAAACUAAGUAUAACUAAGACUUGAACUAUGAACCGAAAUUGAGUUGGAAAAAUGACUAACAGCUUGAACCAAGUCUUAUGACAGAGAGUAUGAACUGGAAAUUAAUUCCUUACCCGAGGCUUAAAAAAAAAUUCUCAAGACUAUGAAUGGAAUAUAAAAAGUCUUUAUGAGAAUCAAAAACAGAUACCCAGAGAUUUGAAACGUCUGUAGACAAAGAGAGAUUCUUUGGGGACAUUCAUGUCACAACUAUUGGUUGGUAGUGCAUGCCUAAGCGAAGUAUGGAAAGUAUGGCAUACUUUAGUCAGCCACGGCUUAUAAAACUAACAAAAGGCUUAAGAAAAGAACUAACAAAAGGCUUAAGAAAAGUCUUUAGACAGACUUUGAUUGUACCCACGGCUUGCAAUAAAGAUUGUAGACAAAGACUAUAGAUCGGUGUUUAGCUUGUCUGAUGGAAAAGCUACCAAGUCUUAAAACAGAGUGUAUGAACCACCCAUUGAGUUGGUUCUUUUGACUUGUUGGUUGGGAAAACUCACCAAUGACUUAAGACAGAGACGAUGAAACCAACUCUUACGGCUUAUAAAAAUUUCUCAGAUACAUAAACCUAAGAAUAUGAACGGAAUAGAAAGACUUUUUAUGAUAAUUGAAAACAGAUAUCACAACGUGAAGUAAAGACUAAUGAAUUCUGUUUUUUUCUUUCUCAGGUAUGCAAUGCUUCAGAAAGUGCUCAUUUGAAGUGUAGCAGGUUUAUUUGUAAUUAUGCUUUCUGAAGUUCUCAGGUUUGGGCUUGCUUGUUCAUUAUCGCGAUGACGCCAAUGCUCUGUUCAGGUAUAAGCUUUUCUUGACUUUUUCUCUUGUGAAAAUUUAUAAAGUAUUAAAGUGAUGUACACGUAACUAAAGAAACUGGAGAAAAGUAACUGAAAAUGUUUUUCUUAAAAAAAAACAUUUUAAGAAAUGAAUGUAUGUUGGAGUCUCUUGGAAAUCAAAGUAAGUGAGAGACUCCUGCAUAUUGUGGUGGUAGUUUAAAAAAAGAAAAUUAUAAUAUUUCUCUUUUGUGUUAUACUCCUAAAAUCCAGUGAUCAUUCUAAACAAUGUUAGUAAUCUCUUUAUAGUUUGGCAAUUUUAUGUAUAAUAAGUUCUCUUAUUUUAUGAAACUGAUGCAUUUUUGAGUUACUUAUAGAUCAACAUAUGUGAAAACUGCAGAUUGUAGUAUUAUUUUCUUUGAAUAUUGAAUGUUUGUGUUUUGUGUACCAUACCCCUCUGUGAUCACUGUAAACAUGUGAAAUGACAUCUUCACAUUUCUGCAAUUAACGCUGCUGAUUGCUAUCUUAGAUUCGAAUUGUAUAUGUUUGUAUUUCGAUUAGCUUUGGUUUCGUGCUUGUGAAAUGGUUGUGCCUUGGAGUCUAUUGUAGAUCAAUGUAGGUGAGAGACUCUUGCAGAUUGUGGUGGUAGUUUCUUUGAAUCCUUGAAUGUUUCUGUUUUGUGUUAUACUCCUGCUAACGUUCAGUGAUUUCUUCAGUUUGGUGCUUGAAUGUAUUAUAAGGUCUCUCAUUUUAUGAAAUAGAUGCAUCUUGGAGUCUCUUCUUUUGUAAAUCAACAUGUGUGAAAGACUGCAGAUUUUGGUAGUAGUUUCACUGAAUCUUGAUUGUUUCUGUUUACUUUUAGGCUCAUAACCCUCGGUGAUCAUUAUAAACAUGUGAAAUGACAUCUUCAGAAUUUUGCAUUCUACCUUGAUGAUUACUAUAACUAUGUUAAAUACUAUAAAUUGUAUAUGUUGAGUUGAAAUUUCCCUGCUUUGAUUCUUGUGUUUAUUUCUUGGUUUUUGAGUCUUGACAACAUUUCUCUCAUUUAUGUAAUUACCUUGAAUCUUGAAUGUUUAUGUUUUGUGUUAUGCUCCUAACGCUUGGUGAG